RNAcentral lists this ribosomal RNA (213 nucleotides) under uncultured bacterium. RNAcentral describes it as "partial 16S ribosomal RNA". It matches the Rfam family "Bacterial small subunit ribosomal RNA", at positions 524 to 734 of the family's 1533-position model. The record is from RNAcentral.
UACAGAGGGGGCAAGCGUUAUUCGGAAUUACUGGGCGUAAAGGGCGCGUAGGCGGACAGCUUAGUCAGAGGUGAAAGCCCAGGGCUCAACCUUGGAAUUGCCUUUGAUACUGGCUGUCUUGAGUUCGGGAGAGGUGAGUGGAAUGCCGAGUGUAGAGGUGAAAUUCGUAGAUAUUCGGCGGAACACCAGUGGCGAAGGCGGAACUCACUGGCC